Molecule: ribosomal RNA, 569 nt
Filed under: uncultured Spiroplasma sp.
Lineage: Bacteria; Bacillati; Mycoplasmatota; Mollicutes; Entomoplasmatales; Spiroplasmataceae
Description: bacterial SSU rRNA
Rfam family: Bacterial small subunit ribosomal RNA
Source: RNAcentral
GAGUUUGAUCCUGGCUCAGGAUUAACGCUGGCGGCAUGCCUAAUACAUGCAAGUCGAACGGAGUAGCAAUACUUAGUGGCGAACGGGUGAGUAACACGUAUCUAAUCUACCAUUUAGUGGGGAAUAACUGUUGGAAACGACAGCUAAUACCGCAUAAUAUUGCUGGAUAAUUUCCAGUAAUGAAAGGAGCUUUCAAGCUCCGCUGAUUGAUGAGGAUGCGGCGCAUUAGCUAGUUGGUAGGGUAAUGGCCUACCAAGGCAAUGAUGCGUAGCCGAUCUGAGAGGAUGAACGGCCACAUUGGGACUGAGACACGGCCCAAACUUCUACGGAAGGCAGCAGUAGGGAAUUUUUCACAAUGGGCGAAAGCCUGAUGGAGCAAUGCCGCGUGACUGAUGAAGGUCUUCGGAUUGUAAAGGUCUGUUGUAAGGGAAGAAAUGGUAAAACAGGAAAUGGUUUUAUCUAUGACGGUACCUUACCAGAAAGCCACGGCUAACUAUGUGCCAGCAGCCGCGGUAAUACAUAGGUGGCAAGCGUUAUCCGGAUUUAUUGGGCGUAAAGGGUGCGUAGAC